This 1566-nucleotide unclassified non-coding RNA is filed under the name Leishmania donovani. RNAcentral describes it as "gene:unknown". The record is from RNAcentral. Lineage: Eukaryota; Euglenozoa; Kinetoplastea; Trypanosomatida; Trypanosomatidae.
UGCCCGCGCACGUCCCACACCCUCUACUCUCUCUCUCUAUGUGCUGUGGAGGAGGGGGCAGCGGAAGCCAGGCAGCCCCUCACUCCUCCAGCCCUGCCGAUUGCCGGACCCCACUUCUCGCUGUGGCAGGGCCGCGCGCAUGAGACUUGGGGAGGUCAGUGCGAUGCGUCGCUACUGAUGCCGGCGGGUGAGGUCGUGGGUGGUGCUGCCUCGGAGCGACCUGCGACCGUGCACACGCUUGUGCCACCCAUGUGGCUAGGCCGCGUGACUCGAACGCAUCCCACACCCGACCCUCACACGGCCCACUGGUGCUGCGGGGAGCCUGCGCCACUCGUGGGGACGCACCAGGUGGCGGCCGACAUGAUGCGGCUGGCUGCGAGGCGACGCGCGAAGCGCAGGGGUGAGUGGAGCUGGAGGCAGGGGCCUUGCGCAGGUCACCGAGUCGGUGCAUUGCCGUACCUCUUGUCAACGUCUGCCUCGCGCCGCGCGGAUGGGAGGGGGGCCUGUGACCGGCCCGCGGGCGAUCGAGUGUGGCGUUCAGCUCAUGUUCCGUGGCAUCGAAUGAACACGUUGAUGCGAAAACGAUUUCUCCUUUAUUCUGUGCGUGUGGGGGCAUGCUGUUGUUUGAUGUGUUCUUGAGGAAUUUCCUUUACUUCUGCGUUUCUGUUUUGCUUUUUUCGGUCGCGAUUUUCGACUUCAGCGCGCGUGCCUGUGCAUGAGCUUGUGCUGUGCCUGUGCUUUCCCCAUUCCCCUCUCUUAAGAGGUGCUCCUUGUGCAGCACUCAACGCACACCCGCUCUCUUUUUCUCUGUAUUUUUCUCGCGCGACCUCGCCGUGUGUAUGCGCUUGGGGCUUGUGCGGGUGUCUGUAAGGGCUCCUCUGGUGUAGUCGCGUGGGUUGGUGCCUUCUCCUCCCUCAUGAUCCAAAGACUCUGAAGGGGGAGGUGGAGAGGGAGGCUCGUUGCCCCUGAUGACAGACACGCAGGCCCGCGCCGGAGUGCUCAACCGCAAUUCUUCUUCUUGACCUUCUCCCUCUCCCUCCGCGAUGUUGUGCUUUCUCGUCUUUCUUGGACUUGUCUCCCCAUUCUUUUCGAUUGUGCGAGUCGACUUUGCCUUUGCUUUCAUUUUUCUCUUGGUCUGUCUUUUUUUGCUCGGCCAAUACGAUGCAAGCGGUGUGAAGGUGCACGCAUGCGCAUGUUUUGGUGCCUUUGGGGUGCCUCUGGCGUUUUCGGCUCGAUGCACGCGCGUACACACACACACACAUGUAUGUGUCGAGCAACUCAAGCCCUUGUAUGUGCUGCUGCUGCUGCUCUCUUUUUUUUUUUUCUCUGAUGGAUCCCCCCUUUCACAGCCCCCUUCCCUUCUCCCUUUUUUGCCCUCUUUGCGAAAUUUCUUCUUUUUUUUGUCUCUGUCUUGCACCGGCCACGUCCCGUGGCGCCGACUCACACACACACACACACACACACGCAUACAUACAUACAAAUCUCCCUGAGUGCGCCUGUGUGUGCGUGUGUGUGUGUGUUGCUGCUGUUGUAUGUCUGUGGUGGCGUAUGCGUGACAUGGCGAUC